Molecule: long non-coding RNA, 652 nt
Organism: Dermacentor andersoni
Lineage: Eukaryota; Metazoa; Arthropoda; Arachnida; Ixodida; Ixodidae
Source: RefSeq, a predicted model, not a curated record
UGUAAACAGAAGAAUGUUGUUCUUGUUGCGGACAAUAAUGAUCCUGAUUCUGGCCUUUUAUCUGGUGUUCACGAACUGGGACAUGUCCUAGGCUCCCCUCAUGAUGGCAGCGAGACCUCAACAAAUUGCCCAGCAAAUGGUAGAUAUAUAAUGGACCCUACUCUUUAUAAACAACAACCGGUGUUCUCAGAAUGCAGCAAGGCAGCAAUGAAGAGAUUUUUGGCCUCACGCGAUGCCAGCUGUCUGUUCCGCCGUCGAUGUCCAGAACCUGCCAGAACGGAGACACGCACUGCUGCUGAGCAACGAGACGAGGUGCUGAGAAAUAACCAGUGCUUGAGCAAAGUGCGCGAAAACGAGGAGUUUUUGAAUGCUACGGUGAUUCAGCCGUGCACAUUAAGUUGCUAUGUUAUUUUGCUAGAAACACAAGAGGUGGCAUCGUUCGAAAGAAGUGCCCCAGAUGGAAUGGGCUGCAACGAAAACGGAGUAUGUAAGGUAAUUUUUUUCUGCAUGCAUGUGAAAUCAUCAAACGGCCUACUCAGCGAAAAAGCCGUCGUCUGUAGCAGCGAAACGGCACCUAAAUUCCCAUUGGUUGCGACGCCACGUCCCGAGAGUGCCUCCACGGAGCGGAUACGGCGACGCGACGCCAUGGGGA